Molecule: ribosomal RNA, 947 nt
Filed under: Triticum aestivum (bread wheat)
Lineage: Eukaryota; Viridiplantae; Streptophyta; Magnoliopsida; Poales; Poaceae
Description: partial small subunit ribosomal RNA
Source: RNAcentral
CAAUGUCAGUUUAGCAUAGACAUGGUACGGACGGGUAUGGAUGCAGCAUGGGUGAGUGGUAAAAGAAAGAUAGGUGUGGAUGGGGGCAGGAGAGAGAGGUAAUAGAGUAGAGAGAGAGACAGAGGUAAUAGAGUUCUAGGUCGGUCUGGAAGGAGGAGGUACCGGCCGGUGGGAGGGCUAGACCUCCAGAGGCUGGUCUAAUAAGGGGAGGGGUGGUGCCGUACGCCGUACCUCAGGGCCCUAGCGAGCGGCAGUUGGUUACGAUACGCCUAGACCGCUCAGGAUUGAGUGGUUCUAGGGUACUGCCUGUUCCAAACAAGGCGGAGGAGGACUUCGACAGCUCCUGGUACUUGCGGUGAAGGAGAGUGGCCAAGUCGUGGUUGUGUAGGUGAUGGGCGUCCACACGUUUUAACGAACAAGGGACUACCUAUAUCAUCGUGUACCUAGGUAGUGGAAACCAGAACAGACCACAAGAGGCCAGGCACUACUUAAAGCUUCCUACUUUGUCUCCGACCCGCUGUCCCUCUAAAUCGACCUUCUCACAACGGACCACGGUCUAGGCGGUACUUCACUCGACCGGGAGAGGGAGAGUACGGCUGUAGCCGUAUAACGGACGAAGAAGGGGGCCGAACUACUUGGAUGGAAGCGGUUUAACUACCUAAAAUUAUGUCUCUUUUGAUCAAGUUAACUCAAAAUAGAAUUUUUUCCGAUCAGUAGCGGACUACCGGUAACAUAUGUAUUUUAUCCGACGUCAAAUAAAAAGGACAUGACGACGUUAUUCCGUUGCAAAGUAGUGAUAAGUCAAGAUACGUUAAGGGAAAGACAAAAAACGAGACCCAGUACUCGUGAUUUAAAAUUUCAAAGGUUGUAUCUAACGUUAUAAUACCCGUCUUAACAUGUUCUUGAAAAACCUACAGAGGCAGCGUGAAACGGCUUUAAACAACUGC